GGAUGCGAUCAUACCAGCACUAAUACACCGGAUCCCAUCAGAACUCCGAAGUCAAGUGUGCUUGGGCGAGAGUAGUACUAGGAUGAGUGACCCCCUGGGAAGUCCUCGUGUUGCAUCCC
This 119-nucleotide ribosomal RNA is filed under the name Ipomoea nil (Japanese morning glory). The record is from RNAcentral. Lineage: Eukaryota; Viridiplantae; Streptophyta; Magnoliopsida; Solanales; Convolvulaceae.